RNAcentral lists this ribosomal RNA (331 nucleotides) under Pyrgotettix pueblensis. Its description in RNAcentral is "partial 12S ribosomal RNA". Lineage: Eukaryota; Metazoa; Arthropoda; Insecta; Orthoptera; Pyrgomorphidae. The record is from RNAcentral.
AGAUACCCUAUUAUUUUAUUUGUAAAAUUUUGUUAGGGUAUUAAUAGAUAAUUUCUUUAAACCCAAAGAAUUUGGCGGCAUUUUAUUCUAUUCAGAGGAACCUAUUCCGUGAUUGAUAAUACACGAUUAGUUGAACUUAAUUUAUUUGUUUGUAUAUCUCCGUUAUCAGUUAAUCUUUUUAGAGUUAUAAAAUUUUCUUUAUUCUUAAUUAGGAAAUAUUUCAGGUCAAGGUGCAGCUAAUAAUUAAGGGGAAAUGGGUUACAUUGAAUUUAAUUUGUUGUUUUUAUUAAUGUAAAUUUUUAAUUAAGUUGGAUUUGAUAGUAAUUUAUUU